CCAUCACGCCGGAUUUUUACUUACAGGAGGAUGAAGCGGACAAUGAGUGGUUUGCAGUAUAAAAAAAAGUUUGGCCGACUUGUGAAGCUCGUUAAAAUAAAGGGAUACAUUUAUUAUUGGAUGGUUAUAUUUGACUGGUGGUGAGAUGAGAAUGAUUUUUUUUGGAAGGUUUCAAAUUUUAAUUGAAUUUUUGUCAAAUUGUUUAUUUUUUCUCUGGUGAAUUAUUUAUUCCGUGUUAAAAUGUUUACUGUGCAGAUUUACUUAUCAGAUUUAAAAGCAUACUUUAUUUAUUGCACAUACUAAUUUUUUUAGGUGGGUGCAUAAUGGAAAAUCUCAAGUUGUGUCGUAUUAAACGGUAGAAGAGUUGAACGUGCUGUAAUAAAUAAGGUGCAGAUUCUCUCUACAAGUACAUAAGUGAGUGGUUGUGGUUUAGGUUGAUCUAGUUGGUGUAGAUAAAAUUUAGACUCAUUUAAAUUGGAAGAAGACGACGAUGAUGAGUUAAGCUGAUACAGGCCCAAUUAUGGAGGAGACUGACAACAACAUCGAGAACGUUAACGUGCAGAUCGUCCGUAUUCUGUGAUGAUGAUGACCCCACGAAAUUCAGAGACGCCUCUUUAUUACUGUAACCAUUAGAGGUCCACCCUUAUAAUCUCGGCUCAGCAAGCACGAGCCAUAAAUGGAAACUGCGAAAUGAAUUAGCGAUCGUAGAACUUGUACAUAUGCAAAAUUUGACCACUUGACCCUUUGUUUUUAUUUAGCACACCACACACCAAAAGCCAUGCUGACUCUUGAAUGCGUCAGAAAAUCUUGACAGUUUUGUUGUUGUUGGAAAAAAGUGUCCAUAAUAUUUUAAGAUCGGCAGUUAAAAGUUGUGGCAAAAAUAUGUUGUUGGCUUAUUAGAAGAAUUUUUUAGGGGCUUGUUUUACUCGAAUAUUUUUCUUUCGUGUACGUGCCUGAACCUGGGUUUGACGUUGAUAAUAUUUGCGUAGCUAAUUGCAAUGGGACGUGAACAUCCAUGCAUCAGCAGCAGCAAAUAACAUGAGAUAGGAGUAACCCAUGUAAAUAAUUGUGGGGACAAAGUACGCAGGUUGAGUUUUAGGUGGCUAGGUUCAUUUUAAAAUUAAUUUGUAAAUUGAAAAUGCAAAUGAGGAAAGUGUGUAUGUACUAGUAGCUGAAAUGCUAUUGUUGUUGUUCUUUAAUUAUGCCUAUGUCACACUUUGGCAGGUUUUGACAAGACGACGUCGAUAAAUCCUACUGUCAAAGUUUGGCUGACGGUAAUAAUUGACAUAUAAGGAGAUUCGCUUUUUACUUCUUAAUGGACAUGGUCAAUAUCAUAUUACUGCUUUUGAAGACGUGUUUCCCGAGGUGCAAACUCGAUUGUCAAGCUUACUGAUCCCGACCAACCGACCAACUUUAGGUGAGGAGUGAUCACCUCAAUUCUUUGUGGCACCAAGUCGGAAGUUUGUUUGUGUCUAUGUAUUAUUUAGUCAAAAGGGAAGUCUAUUUUCAAUCCAGGAGCUCUUUACGAGUAACGAAUGAAUGGUGAUAACUACUUUUUUGUGUACAUACAAAUAAAAAACAACGUAACCUGGUUUCACGAUUUCCUACACGAACGAAAAGUGCAUGAUUUUUCUACAGGGAUAAUUCCAUAUAUAUUUAUUUACAAUGCUAACUAUGAGUAUUAACUUGGUGGAUGGAAGGAAAUCCUGGCAUUACUACGUUUAUUAUUGUACUAUCAUUAUUAUAUCAGCAGCACAAUAAUGAAAUGUAAAUUCAUUCUGCAUUGUGCCGAUGCAAGCUUUAUAUUUACUUGGGUGCAAUAUUAUUAGCAUAAAAGUUCAUCCAUGUGCUAUUUUAUCGUGUCAUGCAUAAAUUCUUUUUAAUUCGAUGCUCAUCUCCCCCUUGAUUUGGAGCGUGACGACCUUUGUUGUCUUGCAUGGGAUGGGAUACACAAUGUACAAUGAUACAAAAUAAUCGUAUGAAUUGAGUUAUCAAAAUCUAGCCUCGGUCUUGAAUUUACGGGAUGAUUGAUAAUCCAUUCAUGGAAUUUGAUCCGAUAAUUUUAAUGAAGCGGACUUCUUUUUACCAGGUUUAUUUACGGACUGAUUGACUUUUGCGGUGGUGCAUGAAUGAAAGCAAAUGCCGAGAAAAAAACUUAACUGGGAUUCCUAUUGUCUUAAUUAACUUUGGUGGAUACAAUUUAUGUGACAUGUUAACUUGGCUCACGCAUGGAUUAUAAUAGGAAUUUCCACAUGGUUGACGACUUUUAAUACGAUCCAAUGUUAGGAUUUGGCUCAAGGAAUGAAGUAAAGUUAACCGGUCUCAAUUGACUCAAUUUGUACAAAUUGGCUUUUCACGGGUUGUCAGUUAAUACAUAUUAGUGUGUCCUCUUUUCCGUGGACAGCCAAUAUAUACGCUUAAUUAAUCUCUGAUUCGUUUGGCGUAAAUGAAGACAUUUGAUAUCAAUUAGAUUACGGAGAUGAAUUUAAUGUUUAAAGUUAAAUGACAAUUUUUUUAGUAUUUUGAAAGUCUUAAAAAAGAGUGUAGAAUUUACCCUGAAAGCUCGAGAAAAUAAAGUCAAACUGAUGUUUUCUUCGAAUUUCCAUUAAAUCUUAAAUGCAUCAAAAUACGCUUAUUUAUUUUUCACUUCUACAAUUCAUGUUAACACAAUCAACACUAGAUUAAGUAGGUUUAAUUAAUUAAUAUGACUAAAAAAGAAUAAAAAAGAAUGCUUCUUAAUAAAUAAAAGUUGUAUGUACAUUUCUUGGA
Long non-coding RNA from Folsomia candida, 2769 nucleotides. RefSeq lists it as uncharacterized. The transcript has 2 exons. Lineage: Eukaryota; Metazoa; Arthropoda; Collembola; Entomobryomorpha; Isotomidae. The record is from RefSeq and is a predicted model, not a curated record.